This 374-nucleotide ribosomal RNA is filed under the name uncultured organism. RNAcentral's name for it is "bacterial SSU rRNA". It matches the Rfam family "Bacterial small subunit ribosomal RNA", at positions 526 to 897 of the family's 1533-position model. The record is from RNAcentral.
CGUAGGGGGCUAGCGUUGUCCGGAAUCAUUGGGCGUAAAGCGCGCGUAGGCGGCCCGGUAAGUCCGCUGUAAAAGUCAAAGGCUCAACCUUUGAAUGUCAGUGGAUACUGCCGGGCUAGAGUCCGGAGGAGGCGAGUGGAAUUCCUGGUGUAGCGGUGGAAUGCGCAGAUAUCAGGAGGAACACCAACGGCGAAGGCAGCUCGCUGGGACGGUACUGACGCUGAGGCGCGAAAGCGUGGGGAGCGAACAGGAUUAGAUACCCUGGUAGUCCACGCCGUAAACGAUGGGCACUAGGUGUGGGAGGUGUCAACUCCUCCCGUGCCGGCGCUAACGCAUUAAGUGCCCCCGCCUGGGGAGUACGGCCGCAAGGCUAA